GACGAACGCUGGCGGCGUGCCUAAUACAUGCAAGUUGAGCGCUGAAGGUUGGUACUUGUACCAACUGGAUGAGCAGCGAACGGGGGAGUAACGCGUGGGGAAUCUGCCUUUGAGCGGGGGACAACAUUUGGAAACGAAUGCUAAUACCGCAUAAAAACUUUAAACACAAGUUUUAAGUUUGAAAGAUGCAAUUGCAUCACUCAAAGAUGAUCCCGCGUUGUAUUAGCUAGUUGGUGAGGUAAAGGCUCACCAAGGCGAUGAUACAUAGCCGACCUGAGAGGGUGAUCGGCCACAUUGGGACUGAGACACGGCCCAAAAUCCUACGGGAGGCAGCAGUAGGGAAUCUUCGGAAAUGGACGAAAGUCUGACCGAGCAACGCCGCGUGAGUGAAGAAGGUUUUCGGAUCGUAAAACUCUGUUGGUAGAGAAGAACGUUGGUGAGAGUGGAAAGCUCAUCAAGUGACGGUAACUACCCAGAAAGGGACGGCUAACUACGUG
This 497-nucleotide ribosomal RNA is filed under the name uncultured bacterium. Its description in RNAcentral is "partial 16S ribosomal RNA". It matches the Rfam family "Bacterial small subunit ribosomal RNA", at positions 28 to 507 of the family's 1533-position model. The record is from RNAcentral.